RNAcentral lists this ribosomal RNA (253 nucleotides) under uncultured bacterium. Its description in RNAcentral is "partial 16S ribosomal RNA". It matches the Rfam family "Bacterial small subunit ribosomal RNA", at positions 524 to 776 of the family's 1533-position model. The record is from RNAcentral.
UACGGGGGGGGCAAGCGUUGUUCGGAAUUACUGGGCGUAAAGGGCUCGUAGGUGGCCAACUAAGUCGGACGUGAAAUCCCUCGGCUUAACCGGGGAACUGCGUCCGAUACUGGUUGGCUUGAGUUUGGGAGAGGGAUGCGGAAUUCCAGGUGUAGCGGUGAAAUGCGUAGAGAUGUGGAGGAAUACCGAUGGCGAAGGCAGCCCCCUGGGCCAAUACUGACGCUCAUGCACGAAAGCGUGGGGAGCAAACAGG